This 115-nucleotide ribosomal RNA is filed under the name Acanthosepion pharaonis. The record is from RNAcentral. Lineage: Eukaryota; Metazoa; Mollusca; Cephalopoda; Sepiida; Sepiidae.
UUACGGUCAAAUCACGCUGAAAACACCGGUUCUCGUUCGAUCACCGAAGUUAAGCAUCGUAGAGACAGGUCAGUACUUAGAUGGGGGACGGCUUGAGAACACCUGGUACUGUAAG